RNAcentral lists this ribosomal RNA (253 nucleotides) under uncultured bacterium. RNAcentral's name for it is "partial 16S ribosomal RNA". It matches the Rfam family "Bacterial small subunit ribosomal RNA", at positions 524 to 776 of the family's 1533-position model. The record is from RNAcentral.
UACGUAGGUGGCAAGCGUUGUCCGGAUUUACUGGGUGUAAAGGGCGUGCAGCCGGAGAGACAAGUCAGAUGUGAAAUCCACGGGCUCAACCCGUGAACUGCAUUUGAAACUGUUUCCCUUGAGUGUCGGAGAGGUAAUCGGAAUUCCUUGUGUAGCGGUGAAAUGCGUAGAUAUAAGGAAGAACACCAGUGGCGAAGGCGGAUCACUGGACGAUAACUGACGGUGAGGCGCGAAAGCGUGGGGAGCAAACAGG